ACGAAGGGUGCAAGCGUUGUUCGGAAUCACUGGGCUUAAAGCGCACGUAGGCGGAAAAGAAAGUGUCUUGUGAAAUCCCCCGACUCAACCGGGGAACUGCUCGGCAAACUUCUUUUCUUGAGACAAGUAGGGGUACAUGGAACUCUAGGUGGAGCGGUGAAAUGCGUAGAUAUCUAGAGGAACGCCAGCGGAGAAAUCGGUGUACUGGGCUUGUACUGACGCUGAGGUGCGAAAGCGUGGGUAGCGAACGG
Molecule: ribosomal RNA, 251 nt
Filed under: uncultured prokaryote
Description: partial 16S rRNA
Rfam family: Bacterial small subunit ribosomal RNA
Source: RNAcentral